CGCGCUUGUACGGCUUUGGCU
RNAcentral lists this small nuclear RNA (21 nucleotides) under Arabidopsis thaliana (thale cress). Its description in RNAcentral is "snRNA_00634". Lineage: Eukaryota; Viridiplantae; Streptophyta; Magnoliopsida; Brassicales; Brassicaceae. The record is from RNAcentral.